GAGCAGUGAUGAUAUCUAGAGAAAGUCAUGCACCACUCUGAUAUUAGUGAUGUGAAAUUUCUCAAACCCAUAAUUAUUUCUGAGCUC
Solanum lycopersicum (tomato) is the source of this 87-nucleotide non-coding RNA. NCBI's taxonomy places the organism in Eukaryota, Viridiplantae, Streptophyta, Magnoliopsida, Solanales, Solanaceae. The record is from Rfam.